Molecule: ribosomal RNA, 253 nt
Filed under: uncultured bacterium
Lineage: Bacteria
Description: partial 16S ribosomal RNA
Rfam family: Bacterial small subunit ribosomal RNA
Source: RNAcentral
UACGGAGGGGACUAGCGUUGUUCGGAAUUACUGGGCGUAAAGCGCACGUAGGCGGAUUUGUAAGUCAGACGUGAAAUCCCUCGGCUUAACCGGGGAACUGCGUCUGAUACUGGAUGGCUUGAGUUCGGGAGAGGUGAGUGGAACUGCGAGUGUAGAGGUGAAAUUCGUAGAUAUUCGCAAGAACACCAGUGGCGAAGGCGGCUCACUGGCCCGAUACUGACGCUGAGGUGCGAAAGCGUGGGGAGCAAACAGG